CUUCAGGAGAGGAAAGACUAAGGAAAAUGCUGGAGCUGAUAAUGGGGCAGCACCUGUGGAAAGGAAAAAACAUCCUGUGAACACAGCUGAUCCUCCAUGACUUGCAGGAGGAAGAAAGUUUUAUUGGAAGGGAAAAAUGUUCUACUCAUACAGUAGCUGGUAUUGACCAACACAAGAAAGAUUAUAGGAUGUAUCUUGGCAUUUCAGCAAUGAAUGACAAAUUCUGUCAUCCACAUUACAAGAGGUAUGGUGUCUCUUAGGUCUCAUAGUACCCUAAGAAAUUAAUCUCUACUAAAUCAUAUCACACAAGCACAUUCCAAAGAACUUUGAAAACAAGGAAGAAUCCUUUGGGAUUAUAGUAUGACUUGUCCAACAGAGUGCUGUGGAAACUACUGCCCUUCUCUUGCAAAAGUGGAAAAAAUAACUAGAUAUUAAUGUAAUUAAACAAUAUAGGAUAUCUUGAAGGACUGAAAAUACUUCCACUAUUUUCUUAUUUUCUAGAAAUAAGCCUGAAAAAGGAUUCAAAUGUUAAUGAAUGUGCACUUACUAUAGCAAUAAAUUGCACAAUGGUGACACCAAAUUAUCACUGAGAUGUUCAGCACUGAAGUGGUGAUCAGCAUGGCCAAUGGCCACUCAUCAGCUGUGACAGUGACACCAGUCACACCACUGAACAGCCAGAGAACUGAACUAGGGGGCUAAGGGACCAAACAGAAUCCCACAUUUCCCUUAAAGAUAUACACACCAUCUACCACAGCAGCUUUUGACUGGGUUUUUUGAUGAACAGCUCCAAAGCCUGGGUGAAGUGAAUCACCUCUCUCCCUGGAGUACACCCUGAGACAGCCAAAGCCAUCCCAGCCCCCAAAGGACUCACACCAACCCUCCUCUUCUAUACUGUCAUCUUCAGUGGAGUGGCACAAGUACUUGUGCACUCCACUGUGAAGAUUCUGGAAGCAACCUAAAUAAAAACUAAGUCCAGGAAAUAAAAUUUUUUAAAAAUCAAGAAAAAAGUUUUACUUUAACUCAGAUAAUUACCUUGCACUUUAAAAAUAUUGGUGCUUGCCUUCACGUUACAGAGUGGAGAGAACUGCUCUUUCUACAAUCAUGCCAGUAUAAAAUAUUCAUGAACUGCAGCACCACACAGCAAACAAGCAGAGGCCAUGAGCACUUCACUGCUGUGAUCACAGAUAACAAGCAAUUAUUUUUUCUCUCCACUUAGUCUCACUGAAUCCCUUAUGCUAAGUGGUGCUGAAAGGUAGGAGCUGUCCUUGGCAAAGAUGAACCUUAAUUUCACUGCUGUUAUUUCUGUAUGAACCAUUUUAAGAAAAAAUACUGUUAUUUCAUUUCUAUACUUAACUAUAGUUGCAACAUCACUUCUACUACUACCAGCAGAAAAAAACCCUUAAGGUUUUUCAUAGCUAUGAACAGCUAUCCAAUUAAAAAGAAAAAGUGAAGUUUUGCCUGCAAAAUAUAAUACAAACUCUGAAAACUAAAGCAGUCCAUAGUUAUUGGAGGUGGGGGCAGUGUCAGCAGGAUGUACCAUAUGUACCACACUUUCUACCUGGCUCUCCCUUGCUGCUUCGGCUGGGAAUGGUGUGGGCAUGCAGCAAAUUGACCACUCUGUUCAGAGCAGUGGGCAGCUCUUCCUGACACCAGGAUUCAUCUAACUCACACUCUGGUUUCAUCAGGCGCAAGGUCACGUGGCUGACCAGAGUACCUGGAAUGGAGGAGUGAAGAAUCCAUGAGAGGGCUAAAACAAAAGAUUUCUUGAGAGAAAAAGCCCCAGGAACACAGACAAGAAUUGUAACAAAGCUCUGGGCAAGAGCCCAGGCUGCAAAGAGGCUCAGGGCAGGAAACCCAACCCAGGGCUGUCAGGGGACAGAUUUCUUCAUGUGUGUGAGUUACACUCACACCCUCCAAACUCUGCACAGGAAGAUGGUCCCACAGUGACCAGCUGCUCCUCAGAGCUGGUCACUGACCAGACAAGAACUUGUCUUUGGUCCCAGUCCCACCCAGCAGUAGGAUCUCUGGGAAAUCACAGCCAUCUCCCUAAGCACUGUUCCAGGUGGUUUUUCCUCUUGGCUUCCUGUGGUAUAAGGUCAUGAUCCACAGUCUGUAAGAGCAAGAAUUUUCACCACCUUCAAAAUGACCUGCCCUUAAAAAGCAACUGCAAAUACUCACCAAAGGUUUUCAGUCGAGCAGGCAUGACACAGGAAGCUAAGGAAAGAAAAGGCUUCUUAAUCCUUGGAGCAGCCAAAGGAGAUCGAAAAAGUGGCAAGAAGGAGCUGAUGAGACCAGGGAUGUACUGAGUGAGACCAGGAGGCUUUUUCUUUAUAACGGUGUCCAGGAGUCCUAGAGCUGUUUCCAGCUCAUUAUCAAGCUGUUAGAAAAACAAUUCAAGAGAUUACCAUUAAAAAAGAGCUCCACUGGAAAAAAAUCAAUUCAAUCUCAUUUCUAAUAACAGAAACAAACAGAUGAUUGCUACACCAUUUUCUCUCCAUUGAAGUGACUGGGGUCAUGGUGGCUUUAGAGGUGACAAAAAAUACAACCAAAACUCACCUCCUUCAGCCGUUUCCUUAUCUGAGCCUCCCUUUCCAGCUGUGCAUGCAUCAGCUCCUUCUGCUUGCUCGUCAGCUGCACCUCAUCCUUUAUUCCCUUCUUCUUCUUUAUCUCCUGCAACAGAGAGCCAUGGUCAUCAUUAUCUGGGAGCUACAAACACCAUCCCUUCAAUUAGUCAGAGAAGCAAGUUGGAAACAGGGGUUUUUGCAAUUUAUUUUUAAAACAAUAUCAAAAUAUCCUUGCAAGUAUAUCCCCCUUGAGUAAAGACACAAAAUGGAAAUCAGGAGGUUAAAAGCACUUUAGUGUCCCACAGCAUAAGUUUCUCUGUAUUGGUCACAAAUUAUUUGAUAAUAAAAAGUGCUGUCCAAUUCAUUUACAGGGGUGCUAUGUCACCCUCCCCAGAGCUAAGAGAAGUCAACCUUUGUUUAAAAAAUGGGAUACAUACAGAUAGAAAUAUUCCAAGUAGUUCAGAGAAUCUUUCCUACCAGCACACAGACAUACGCCAGAAGCCAUGGAACAACACACAACUUGCAGUGAAGAUUCUGACCAGCCUGGCACUCCUUCUUCCAUCAACUCACCUCUUUCAGCUCCAGCUCAAUAAUUUGCUCCUUGAAGGAAUAAGCUUUGUUCUCCCUCUUCAUGUUAGCCUUUUUCAUACUGUCCUGUUGAGCACUGAGAAGGAAAAGUGGAGAAGGAAUCAGCACUGCUCUGGACUAAGGACCAGGCAUAAAAAUCCAGGAACUUCUGUGCUCUUUCUAGAGCAUCUGACACACCCAGUCACCCACUGGCAAGAAUAUGAGCAAUGAUCAAUCCAUCCCCAGAUGCACAGAAAUUAUGAAGACUUACCUCUGUAUUAUAGAUUUGUCAUACAGUUCUCCCUCGGGUGUCUUCAUGAUGGCAAAUUCCUCUCGAGUAACCUGGCACAGAGCUGGAUUCUCCAUUGAUGCUGAGAUAGUGCUGAUGAGCUGGGGGAGCACUCUGCCAGGUAAAAGCAGGGAGAGAGA
Passer domesticus (house sparrow) is the source of this 3560-nucleotide long non-coding RNA. RefSeq lists it as uncharacterized. The transcript is spliced from 2 exons. NCBI's taxonomy places the organism in Eukaryota, Metazoa, Chordata, Aves, Passeriformes, Passeridae. The record is from RefSeq and is a predicted model, not a curated record.